GAUGGGCUCAAACCACUGACUUUUCAGGCAACAUCUGACAGCACUAACCUAGUGUUCCAGAGACACUGCUUGUUAAACAGUGAAAGCUGUUGCUCAAUUGUGUCAUCCAUAAUUGUCAAAUAUUGCCAUUUAGUAGCACAAGGAAGUAUUUUCUGUUGCCAAGCUAGAGUACCCAUAACUCUUCUGUUUUGUUGAACAUUCUUCCUCACCACAAACCCUCUUUAGAAGACUGGGGGCUCCUAAAACAUUGAGGCCGAGAGUCCUGUCCUUGUGCAUGUUUGGGCAUUGACCCAGGGCCAAGUCAGUGGGAGACUCCUCCACACACACACCAGGUCCCCAGGUGACAACUGCAGUCUCUGGAUCUGAGGUCAUCCACUUUCCCAUUCCUAGCUCACCUCACCCAUCGUGAAGCCUGGAUUUCCUUUUUAUCACUGGUUUUGAUGGAUUUGAUUAAGGUGUUCCUUGGUGAAGUUUUCUUCAUGUUUCUUGUUCUUAGAAUAAUCAUAUUUCUGUAAUAUUUGAAGUUUAUGGUUUCCAUGGAGCUUCUAAAUCUUUCAUCCAGUAUAUUUUAAAUAUCUUUGUCUCUCUUCUCCACUACACGCCCUUCAGGGAUUCCAUUUAGCCCUAUACUAGGGGGUUUAAAGUUUUGAUGCUGAUGGUCUUUUUAUGUUUUCAAGUCAUUUGUUACUGUGUGUUUCAUUUAUGUUAGUUUCAACUGCUAUUCCUUCUAGUUCAAUAAUCUUCUUUUCUGCACUGUUUAAUCCACUGCCUUCUUCCAUUUCAGACUGUAAAUCAUAGUUUUUAUCUAUAGAUUUUGAUAUUUAAAAAAUCUUCAACCUCCCCAUUUAAUUAAAAUACAAUUAUACUAA
Molecule: long non-coding RNA, 869 nt
Filed under: Pongo abelii (Sumatran orangutan)
Lineage: Eukaryota; Metazoa; Chordata; Mammalia; Primates; Hominidae
Description: lincRNA
Source: RNAcentral